This 876-nucleotide ribosomal RNA is filed under the name Triticum aestivum (bread wheat). RNAcentral describes it as "partial small subunit ribosomal RNA". Lineage: Eukaryota; Viridiplantae; Streptophyta; Magnoliopsida; Poales; Poaceae. The record is from RNAcentral.
AUGCAAAAUUCAUACAGUUCACCCACUGGUGACCUCUGCAUGAUACAGUGUACUACCGGCUUGUUGUUGUAUUACUCUGACGCUGCCACGGCAGGAGCCGCCCCGCCGCCGGUCAGAUGCAUGCUCCUGCGCGCCGCAGCCGCCGCACAACCAGGCCGCGCAGGUGCAGCAACAGAUGGCCGGCGCCGUCCCGAGAGCUACCACGCAAACCAGCGCGAGCACAAGCGCCACUGCCAGCGCCCAACUCGGGCAACGACGGCCUCCGCAGCUGGCUCCCCCGGUUGCUGUCGGUCUCCCCAGCUCAAGAAGAGGACCAUCCGCACGCGCGGCUGCAUCGACACCGCGUCCCUGCCACCGCAGUGUCGCGCGCUGGUCGUCGCCCGUGCCAGCCACACUGCGCUCCGUCGAUGCUCCGCCAGUGCGCUCGCCGUUGCCGGAUCCUCCGCGGCUGGUGCGGUGUCCGGUGACGAGGAUCUGAAGGAGCCCCUCCUUGUCCCUCGCCUUGGCCGCCAGCCUGAGCUCCCGCAGCGCGGCGGGGAGCCUGGACCUCUUGCUCCUCUUCUUCUUCAUGGCGUCGCUCCGGCACAAGGACGGCUUCGGGGAGCUGUCGACUCGCCGGAGAGCUCUACCGCCGCAGCUGCCACCGAUCAUAGCAGACCCAUGGAGCAGAUGCAUGGAUGGGUCGAUGAUGUCGGUGUACUACAACGCUACCACCGGCUCGCGCUAGCUUGCGUCCCGUGCAACUCCGAUCGAUCGACGCGGCUGUUGAGUGUCAAACUGGCUCCUCUGGUCGCCGAUGCUAGCUGGACGGCCGAGCUCGUCUCUGGUCAGCUGCAGCUAUAUGCAUCUUGUUAUUUAUACCCGCUAGCAAAGUAG